AUUGUUUGAACCGAGAUCCAGCAUUUUUUAAGAAAACAAAAUUUGUUGUUGAUAAGUUUCAUUGGAAAAAUCAUUCAGGAUGCUGCGAAGGAUAUAACAUGAAAUUGUAUCCCACGCUCAAUAUGUACAAUAGUCAAGCUGCUGAACAGUGCAAUUCGUGUAUUAAGCCUCCAUGGUUUCUUACAUGGAAUACGAUAACUUUUUUCUUUUUACAAAACUUCAUAUUUGGCACAGGAAUAUGUUACGCAUUGUUAAAUACAAUCCUGAGAGAGAAAUAGCCUAUAAACACUAUUUUCUCACUCUUAGUCGCGUUAUUCAUUAGUAACGCGUUAUAGUUUCGUUUUUCGAAAAAUUUAAACUUGUUUUUAUGAAUAGUUUUAUCUCUACAAAAUAUUACUUCAUAGUUACCCAUAUAGUUUCUGCAAAAGUAACAAUUACAUGUAACGUCGUUACUUGUAAAAAAAUUAUUUACAUCACUUGUUAUAAAUAUAAGAAUGUUAUUCAUAUGCA
Molecule: long non-coding RNA, 510 nt
Organism: Xenia sp. Carnegie-2017
Lineage: Eukaryota; Metazoa; Cnidaria; Anthozoa; Malacalcyonacea; Xeniidae
Exons: 2
Source: RefSeq, a predicted model, not a curated record